UACGAAGGGGGCUAGCGUUUGUUCGGAGUUACUGGGCGUAAAGGGCGCGUAGGCGGCGCACCAAGUCAGGCGUGAAAGCCCUGGCUCAACCCGGGAAUUGCGCUUGAGACUGGUGUGCUUGAGUACGGGAGAGGAUAGUGGAAUUCCCAGUGUAGAGGUGAAAUUCGUAGAUAUUGGGAAGAACACCGGUGGCGAAGGCGGCUAUCUGGACCGUAACUGGACCGCGUGAGGCG
This 233-nucleotide ribosomal RNA is filed under the name uncultured bacterium. RNAcentral's name for it is "partial 16S ribosomal RNA". It matches the Rfam family "Bacterial small subunit ribosomal RNA", at positions 524 to 753 of the family's 1533-position model. The record is from RNAcentral.